RNAcentral lists this ribosomal RNA (384 nucleotides) under uncultured Rikenellaceae bacterium. Its description in RNAcentral is "bacterial SSU rRNA". It matches the Rfam family "Bacterial small subunit ribosomal RNA", at positions 996 to 1382 of the family's 1533-position model. Lineage: Bacteria; Pseudomonadati; Bacteroidota; Bacteroidia; Bacteroidales; Rikenellaceae. The record is from RNAcentral.
UCGCCCCGAAAGGGGCGCGCCAGCAAUGGCCGCCGGCGAGGUGCUGCAUGGUUGUCGUCAGCUCGUGCCGUGAGGUGUCGGGUUAAGUCCCAUAACGAGCGCAACCCCUACUGCUAGUUGCCAGCGCGUAAAGGCGGGGACUCUAGCGGAACUGCCGGCGUAAGCCGUGAGGAAGGUGGGGAUGACGUCAAAUCAGCACGGCCCUUACGUCCAGGGCUACACACGUGUUACAAUGGCCGGUACAGAGGGCAGCCACCCGCGAGGGGGCGCGAAUCCUUAAAGCCGGUCCCAGUUCGGAUCGGGGUCUGCAACCCGACCCCGUGAAGCUGGAUUCGCUAGUAAUCGCGCAUCAGCCACGGCGCGGUGAAUACGUUCCCGGGCCUU